RNAcentral lists this ribosomal RNA (253 nucleotides) under uncultured bacterium. RNAcentral's name for it is "partial 16S ribosomal RNA". It matches the Rfam family "Bacterial small subunit ribosomal RNA", at positions 524 to 776 of the family's 1533-position model. The record is from RNAcentral.
UACGAAGGGUGCAAGCGUUGUUCGGAAUUACUGGGCGUAAAGCGCGCGUAGGCGGGCUUGUGUGUCGAUUGUGAAAGCCCUGGGCUUAACCUGGGAAUGGCAGUCGAAACUGCAAGUCUUGAAUGUCUGAGAGGAUGGCGGAAUUCCCGGUGUAGUAGUGAAAUACGUAGAUAUUAGGAAGAACACCAGUGGCGAAGGCGGCUCACUGGUCCGGUACUGACGCUGAGGUGCGAAAGCGUGGGGAGCAAACAGG